GACGAACGCUGGCGGCGUGCUUAACACAUGCAAGUCGAACGGAAAGGCCCUGCUUUUGUGGGGUGCUCGAGUGGCGAACGGGUGAGUAACACGUGAGUAACCUGCCCUUGACUUUGGGAUAACUUCAGGAAACUGGGGCUAAUACCGGAUAGGAGCUCCUGCUGCAUGGUGGGGGUUGGAAAGUUUCGGCGGUUGGGGAUGGACUCGCGGCUUAUCAGCUUGUUGGUGGGGUAGUGGCUUACCAAGGCUUUGACGGGUAGCCGGCCUGAGAGGGUGACCGGCCACAUUGGGACUAAGAUACGGCCCAGACUCCUACGGGAGGCAGCAGUGGGGAGUAUUGCACAAUGGGCGGAAGCCUGAUGCAGCAACGCCGCGUGCGGGAUGACGGCCUUCGGGUUGUAAACCGCUUUCGCCUGUGACGAAGCGGGAGUGACGGUAAUGGGUAAAGAAGCACCGGCUAACUACGUG
This 468-nucleotide ribosomal RNA is filed under the name uncultured bacterium. Its description in RNAcentral is "partial 16S ribosomal RNA". It matches the Rfam family "Bacterial small subunit ribosomal RNA", at positions 28 to 507 of the family's 1533-position model. The record is from RNAcentral.